This 99-nucleotide transfer RNA is filed under the name Armillaria gallica. It matches the Rfam family "tRNA". Rfam says of the family: Transfer RNA (tRNA) molecules are approximately 80 nucleotides in length. Their secondary structure includes four short double-helical elements and three loops (D, anti-codon, and T loops). The record is from Rfam by way of RNAcentral. Lineage: Eukaryota; Fungi; Basidiomycota; Agaricomycetes; Agaricales; Physalacriaceae.
GGUCUUAUAGUGUAGUGGUUAUCACUCAGGAUUUUGAAGCGGUCUCAGAGUGCAGAAGCUUGAUUUCCUGGAACCCAGGUUCGAACCCUGGUAAGACCU